AGAAGUAUAGGUUAAAAAAACCUUCAGUUUGUGGUAUUGAAAAUCUAGUGAUAGUAUUUCUA
RNAcentral lists this transfer RNA (62 nucleotides) under Neomazocraes dorosomatis. RNAcentral describes it as "tRNA-His". Lineage: Eukaryota; Metazoa; Platyhelminthes; Monogenea; Mazocraeidea; Mazocraeidae. The record is from RNAcentral.